UACGUAGGGGGCAAGCGUUGUCCGGAUUUAUUGGGCGUAAAGAGCGUGUAGGCGGCUUGGUAGGUCCGCUGUGAAAACUCGAGGCUCAACCUCGAGAUGUCGGCGGAAACCACUUGGCUAGAGUCCGGAAGAGAAGAGUGGAAUUCCACGUGUAGCGGUGAAAUGCGUAGAGAUGUGGAGGAACACCAGUGGCGAAGGCGGCUCUCUAGUACGGUACUGACGCUGAGACGCGAAAGCGUGGGGAGCGAACAGG
Molecule: ribosomal RNA, 253 nt
Filed under: uncultured bacterium
Lineage: Bacteria
Description: partial 16S ribosomal RNA
Rfam family: Bacterial small subunit ribosomal RNA
Source: RNAcentral